This 68-nucleotide transfer RNA is filed under the name Apomecyna saltator. RNAcentral describes it as "tRNA-Ser". The record is from RNAcentral. Lineage: Eukaryota; Metazoa; Arthropoda; Insecta; Coleoptera; Cerambycidae.
UAAAUCAAGAAAUAAGCUUCUAACUUAAUUCUAAAGCGAUGAAAUUCGUUUAUAUUUCUAUUUAUAUA